CAUUAUUGAGAAUAUGGCGCAUUGAGAGGUAAAUAGGGGCUGUAGCUGGCCUGUAAAGGGCAUGUGCACGCUUUAAUUGACUCUCUUUGUUGCUUGUUUCAUUAUUACUCUCCACUUGUGCACAUUUGUAGUCAACUUUGACUUGUGUCGGGGUUGUCUAUGAUUUUUGUCUUUAUACGCUAUUAAUUGAUGUAAAUGAAUGUGAUGAUAAUAAUUAAUACAACUUUCAACAACGGAUCUCUUGGCUCUCGCAUCGAUGAAGAACGCAGCGAAAUGCGAUAAGUAAUGUGAAUUGCAGAAUUCAGUGAAUCAUCGAAUAUUUGAACGCACCUUGCGCUCCUUGGUAAUCCUUGGAGCAUGCCUGUUUGAGUGUCAUUAAAGUGUUAUUGAAACAAGCUUGUUAAGUCUGUUUCGGAUUGUGGGAGGUCUGCCGGCUUCUUGAAGCCAGCUCUCCUGAAAUUGAAUAGUAUUGGAGAGGUGCUUGUCACUUCCACCUUGCGAAUGGUGUGAUAGAUGAUCAUUCAAUUAUCUACGCCAUGAAAGGAGGGAUUGUAAAGUGCUCAUCUCUUUGCUCGCUCAUUGAGUCGAGAAUAAUUGACAACUUGACCUCAGAUCAGGUAGGACUACCCGCUGAACUUAAGCAUAUCAAUAAGCGGANGAAAAGAAACUAACAAGGAUUCCCUUAGUAACUGCGAGUGAAGAGGGAUGAGCUCAAAUUUGUAAUCUGACAGUCUUUGACUGUCC
RNAcentral lists this ribosomal RNA (744 nucleotides) under uncultured fungus. Its description in RNAcentral is "eukaryotic LSU rRNA". The stretch from base 222 to 375 matches the Rfam family "5.8S ribosomal RNA". The record is from RNAcentral. Lineage: Eukaryota; Fungi.